This 522-nucleotide ribosomal RNA is filed under the name uncultured bacterium. Its description in RNAcentral is "bacterial SSU rRNA". It matches the Rfam family "Bacterial small subunit ribosomal RNA", at positions 777 to 1297 of the family's 1533-position model. The record is from RNAcentral.
AAUAGAUACCCGGGUAGUCCACGCCGUAAACGAUGAGUGCUAAGUGUUAGAGGGUUUCCGCCCUUUAGUGCUGCAGCUAACGCAUUAAGCACUCCGCCUGGGGAGUACGGUCGCAAGACUGAAACUCAAAGGGGUUGACGGGGGCCCGCACAAGCGGUGGAGCAUGUGGUUUAAUUCGAAGCAACGCGAAGAACCUUACCAGGUCUUGACAUCCUCUGACAACUCUAGAGAUAGAGCGUUCCCCUUCGGGGGACAGAGUGACAGGUGGUGCAUGGUUGUCGUCAGCUCGUGUCGUGAGAUGUUGGGUUAAGUCCCGCAACGAGCGCAACCCUUGAUCUUAGUUGCCAGCAUUUAGUUGGGCACUCUAAGGUGACUGCCGGUGACAAACCGGAGGAAGGUGGGGAUGACGUCAAAUCAUCAUGCCCCUUAUGACCUGGGCUACACACGUGCUACAAUGGAUGGUACAAAGGGCUGCAAGACCGCGAGGUCAAGCCAAUCCCAUAAAACCAUUCUCAGUUCGGA